This is a long non-coding RNA of Pocillopora damicornis (cauliflower coral), 643 nucleotides long. RefSeq lists it as uncharacterized. The record is from RefSeq and is a predicted model, not a curated record. NCBI's taxonomy places the organism in Eukaryota, Metazoa, Cnidaria, Anthozoa, Scleractinia, Pocilloporidae.
UGUUUCGACGUAACUCCCUAACAAAUAUCCAACGCCGAUUAGAGUCAUAGUCUGAGAAAUGUUUCUGUCGCAUCAAAGUUUAGCUGAAUCGUACAACGACUAAAGCAAAUUGGAUUAAACUUCACAUAAAUCGAAGCAUUAGCAAUUUCAACUUAGACAUGCGUGGCGCGGCGCGCGGGAACGAAACCGCAAUUGUUCAUUGCUUCGAGUACAUGAAAACUCACUGAAAAAUUGAAAACAGGUAAAACCGCAUUAAAUAGAACAGCGACUGGAUUAACAAGUGGCCAGGUGUCUAGUUUCGUGGAAGGAAAAUGAUCCCUCACCCGACGAUAUUUCUUGUGAAGGGUCUCUUAUGCAUGGAAAGGUCUUCGGCGCCUUAUCGAACAUGCAAUGAUGUCAUGUUCUACUACAUAUACUGCAGUUUCCAGUAUUUUCCCCUCAGCAAUAAGAGAAGUGAUCAAAGUGACGCACUGGGGCCACUGAACUGUCAAAUAACAAUCAGAAGUCUGGAAAGAAGAAAUUCGGGAGCAAGGUGUUAUUAGCUCGAAAAAUUUUGUAGAAUUGUCAGCUAUCUUACACAUCCUUGCGAAGUUAUAAUCAGUUAGAAUGCUACUUAAUGAUUAAAACUGUAUUUACCACUGUA